CUCAUCUAUUUGACAGACCUGAAGCAGUUAUUGUCUGCUAUCAAGGUUUCCAAGACAGAUACAAGGAAAAACGUAUCCUCACACUUUCUGUCUGUCUCAUAGUGGCAGCCAAGAUUGAACAGAGGAAUACAAAA
Molecule: small nucleolar RNA, 134 nt
Filed under: Jaculus jaculus (lesser Egyptian jerboa)
Lineage: Eukaryota; Metazoa; Chordata; Mammalia; Rodentia; Dipodidae
Description: Small nucleolar RNA SNORA31 (ENSJJAG00000006018.1)
Rfam family: Small nucleolar RNA SNORA31
About the family: ACA31 (SNORA31) belongs to the H/ACA class of snoRNAs which are thought to guide the sites of modification of uridines to pseudouridines. ACA31 is predicted to guide the pseudouridylation of U3713 in 28S rRNA and U218 in 18S rRNA. This family includes the mouse homologue snoMBI-161.
Source: Rfam by way of RNAcentral